AAGCUGUUGUUUUAGUAUUCUUUUGAUGAGUUUGGCUUGUUGUUAUGAAAAGUGUUUGUUUUGGCGAGUUUGAACGUUUUUGAGCAUGUGUAAUGGCAUGAAUGCGUUAAGCUGUUGUUUUAGUGUUCUUUUGAUGAGUUUGGCUUGUUGUUAUGAACAUUGUUCGUUUUGGCCAGUUUGAAGGUUUUUGAGCAUGUGUAAUGGCAUGAAUGCGUUAAGCUGUUGUUUUAGUGUUCUUUUGAUGAGUUUGGCUUGUUGUUAUGAACAUUGUUCGUUUUGGCCAGUUUGAAGGUUUUUUAGCAUGUGUAAUGGCAUGAAUGCGUUAAGCUGUUGUUUUAGUGUUCUUUUGACGAGUGUGGCUUGUUGUUAUGAAGAUUGUUCGUUUUGGCCAGUUUGAACGUUUUUGAGCAUGUGUAAUGGCGUUAAUGUGUUGAAUUAGUAAUCCCAUGUGUUAAGCCGUUGUUUUAGUGUUCUUUUGAUGAGUUUGGCUUGUUGUUAUGAAAAGUGUGUGUUUUGGCGAGUUUUAACGUUU
Non-coding RNA from Xyrichtys novacula (pearly razorfish), 532 nucleotides. Lineage: Eukaryota; Metazoa; Chordata; Actinopteri; Labriformes; Labridae. The record is from the annotation of a GenBank genome assembly.